UACGGAGGGGGUUAGCGUUGUUCGGAAUUACUGGGCGUAAAGCGUACGUAGGCGGAUUAAUAAGUUAGAGGUGAAAUCCCAGGGCUCAACCCUGGAACUGCCUUUAAAACUGUUAGUCUUGAGAUCGAGAGAGGUGAGUGGAAUUCCAAGUGUAGAGGUGAAAUUCGUAGAUAUUUGGAGGAACACCAGUGGCGAAGGCGGCUCACUGGCUCGAUACUGACGCUGAGGUACGAAAGUGUGGGGAGCAAACAGG
RNAcentral lists this ribosomal RNA (253 nucleotides) under uncultured bacterium. RNAcentral describes it as "partial 16S ribosomal RNA". It matches the Rfam family "Bacterial small subunit ribosomal RNA", at positions 524 to 776 of the family's 1533-position model. The record is from RNAcentral.